CGGGGUGUGGCGCAGCCUGGUAGCGCGCUCCGUUCGGGUCGGAGAGGCCCCCAGUUCAAAUCUGGGCACCCCGA
This 74-nucleotide transfer RNA is filed under the name Actinomycetes bacterium. RNAcentral describes it as "Actinobacteria bacterium tRNA-Pro". The record is from RNAcentral. Lineage: Bacteria; Bacillati; Actinomycetota; Actinomycetes. RNAcentral also lists the same sequence under 10 other names.